AGAGUUUGAUCAUGGCUCAGGAUGAACGCUAGCUACAGGCUUAACACAUGCAAGUCGAGGGGCAGCGAGAGGAAAGCUUGCUUUCCUUGUCGGCGACCGGCGCACGGGUGAGUAACGCGUAUCCAACCUUCCCCUUAGUAGGGCAUAGCCCGGCGAAAGUCGGAUUAAUACCCUAUGUUAUUCGUAGAGGACAUCUGAAAUGAAUCAAAGAUUAAUCGCUAAGGGAUGGGGAUGCGUCCGAUUAGGUAGUCGGCGGGUAACGGCCCACCGAGCCUUCGAUCGGUAGGGGUUCUGAGAGGAAGGUCCCCCACACUGGUACUGAGACACGGACCAGACUCCUACGGGAGGCAGCAGUGAGGAAUAUUGGUCAAUGGACGGGAGUCUGAACCAGCCAAGUAGCGUGCAGGACGACGGCCCUAUGGGUUGUAAACUGCUUUUAUACGGGGAUAAAGUCGCCCACGUGUGGGUGUUUGUAGGUACCGUAUGAAUAAGGACCGGCUAAUUCCGUGCCAGCAGCCGCGGUAAUACGGAAGGUCCGGGCGUUAUCCGGAUUUAUUGGGUUUAAAGGGAGCGCAGGCGGGAGCUUAAGCGUGACGUGAAAUGUAGCCGCUCAACGGCUGAACUGCGUCGCGAACUGGGUUUCUUGAGUGAGUACGACGCGGACGGAAUUCGUGGUGUAGCGGUGAAAUGCUUAGAUAUCACGAAGAACCCCGAUUGCGAAGGCAGUCCGCGAGUCCUUUACUGACGCUAAAGCUCGAAGGUGCGGGUAUCGAACAGGAUUAGAUACCCUGGUAGUCCGCACGGUAAACGAUGGAUGCCCGCUGUCGGCGACAGACUGUCGGCGGCCAAGCGAAAGCGUUAAGCAUCCCACCUGGGGAGUACGCCGGCAACGGUGAAACUCAAAGGAAUUGACGGGGGCCCGCACAAGCGGAGGAACAUGUGGUUUAAUUCGAUGAUACGCGAGGAACCUUACCCGGGCUUGAACUGCAGCAGACGGAUCUAGAGAUAGUGACUCCCUUCGGGGCUGCUGUGGAGGUGCUGCAUGGUUGUCGUCAGCUCGUGCCGUGAGGUGUCGGCUUAAGUGCCAUAACGAGCGCAACCCCUUUCGUCAGUUGCCAUCAGGUGAUGCUGGGCACUCCGGCGAUACUGCCACCGCAAGGUGUGAGGAAGGUGGGGAUGACGUCAAAUCAGCACGGCCCUUACGUCCGGGGCUACACACGUGUUACAAUGGGUGGUACAGAGAGUCGAGUGCCGGCAACGUCACUCCAAUCCAUAAAGCCAUCCUCAGUUCGGAUUGGGGUCUGCAACCCGACCCCAUGAAGCUGGAUUCGCUAGUAAUCGCGCAUCAGCCAUGGCGCGGUGAAUACGUUCCCGGGCCUUGUACACACCGCCCGUCAAGCCAUGAAAGCCGGGGGCGCCUGAAGUCCGUGACCGCGAGGGUCGGCCUAGGGUGAAACCGGUGAUUGGGGCUAAGUCGUAACAAGGUAGCC
Molecule: ribosomal RNA, 1490 nt
Filed under: uncultured rumen bacterium
Lineage: Bacteria
Description: bacterial SSU rRNA
Rfam family: Bacterial small subunit ribosomal RNA
Source: RNAcentral